UCCGGUUUGUCACCGGCAGUCCCAUUAGAGUGCCCAACUGAAUGUGGCAACUAAUGGCAAGGGUUGCGCUCGUUGCGGGACUUAACCCAACAUCUCACGACACGAGCUGACGACAACCAUGCACCACCUGUGCACGGCCCUUACGGACCCCGCAUCUCUGCGAGAUUUCCGUGCAUGUCAAGCCUAGGUAAGGUUCUUCGCGUUGCAUCGAAUUAAGCAACAUGCUCCGCCGCUUGUGCGGGCCCCCGUCAAUUCCUUUGAGUUUUAGCCUUGCGGCCGUACUCCCCAGGCGGGACACUUAGAGCGUUAGCUUCGCCACAGAAGGGGUCGAUUCCUCCUACAGCAAAUGCGCACCGUUUAGGGCCGGGACUAC
This 373-nucleotide unclassified non-coding RNA is filed under the name uncultured bacterium. Its description in RNAcentral is "contains 16S-23S intergenic spacer region". The record is from RNAcentral.